Non-coding RNA from Zootermopsis nevadensis, 1412 nucleotides. NCBI's taxonomy places the organism in Eukaryota, Metazoa, Arthropoda, Insecta, Blattodea, Termopsidae. The record is from RefSeq and is a predicted model, not a curated record.
AAACCCCAAGGUUUGAAGUUCCCUUUUCUCCUACAAUAAAGAAUAAGUGGUUACUAUUCAGACAGUCAUAUGUUAUAAUUGUUACAGAUUCCUUCCAUAAGCAGUUAGUAGAGAUUGAUUUGAUGCUUGCCUGUGUGGGAGAACUGAACACUACAAUUCGUGGUGGUGUUCAUUGGUCAAUACUUUACGGAGUUGAUUUUGGAUGUGUACGAUUGUCAGCUGGGAUUGUUACGAAUUGGACCAUUUAAUUAUGAUCCUCUGUGAGGUGUUGACCUCUGGUUAGAGCAGACAGAUGAUUUCAUUUUCCAGCAUUUGUCCACAGCACCAGAAGUAGAGCCACCUCAUUUUGUCAUGCAGUAGAAUGUGUGCGGGCAACAUUGAAGUACAUCCAAGACCAUCCAUUCCCAGAUGUGACAGUGUUCCAAGAUAAGCGGUCACUCUACUACCGGAGGGAUGAAAACAGUGGAACGUGGGUUCCGAUACAAUAUUGAAACACUAGUGUAGGAAUCUGGACACUCUUGGCUAAGGUUAUUACUUUUGGGAAAGUAGAAUGUCCAUUACCCAGAAAUAAUUUUCAUAGUAAAUAAACUUAUGAGCACACAGAUAUUGAUUGACGUAAUACUGUUUCUUGAUAUGGUAUUUAAACUGUUAAUGCAAUUAAAAUGUGUUUAACGUGAUCAUAUAUUUGCAGUCAUGUGAAAUAUAAAACAUGUUGAGUCACAAUGUAUUUCACAUUUAUAUUUGCAAAUUGAAUUAAAUACCAUUUUUACAGAAUAUGACAUUGUACAUGAUUAAGAAUGAAGCCAAAAUUAUAUGCGUAGUGUAGGAUAUAGGGAUAUAAUGCAUAAUGAAAGUAUAAGUUUAUUAAUUUUUGUACUUAGCAUCCUGAUGCUAAGAAUGUAUUAUCAGUGCAGAAUAUUCUACUCCAAAGCCUUGUAGCCAGAUACAUUUUUCGUCAGUUCAUUUCGUAUCAUAUUGUAUCAUGUUUUAUUAAAACAGUGGAACUUUAUGCAACUUCACAUCAGUAACAGUGACCAUGAUAUAUGCAUCGUCAGUCAAAAUGCAAGUGUUCAUGAGUUUAUGGUGCAAGUUAACACUGUUGUUGUUUCUCAACAUGACGUUGGCAGGAGGGAGUGUGAUUAUGAACUAUGACAUUCCAUCUUGCCUCAUUGUCUGUGACUUACACAGAUGCCACUGACCAUGGAGUGAAAUGUUCACUGUUGCGCAGUCAAACACAUACAGGAAAGUAUCAUUUUAAAAUAGUUAACACUGGACAAGUGUUUUGAAAAGGAUUAUACAUAAUAGAAUAAGAUAUGCAAGUUUGUUUUACUCUGUUUUCAUAUCUAAAAUGUCUUAUGUCCUGAGACUGUAUGUGAUUGCUUAUUUCUGCUUAAGUUAGGUGAAAUAUGGAU